AGUCGAGCGAGCGGAACCACAGAUUUACUUCGGUAAUGACGUUGGGAAAGCGAGCGGCGGAUGGGUGAGUAACACGUGGGGAACCUGCCCCUAAGUCUGGGAUACCAUUUGGAAACAGGUGCUAAUACCGGAUAAUAAAGCGGAUCGCAUGAUCAGCUUUUGAAAGGCGGCGUAAGCUGUCGCUAAGGGAUGGCCCCGCGGUGCAUUAGCUAGUUGGUAAGGUAACGGCUUACCAAGGCGACGAUGCAUAGCCGAGUUGAGAGACUGAUCGGCUACAUUGGGACUGAGACACGGCCCAAACUCCUACGGGAGGCAGCAGUAGGGAAUCUUCCACAAUGGACGCAAGUCUGAUGGAGCAACGCCGCGUGAGUGAAGAAGGUUUUCGGAUCGUAAAGCUCUGUUGUUGGUGAAGAAGGAUAGAGGUAGUAACUGGCCUUUAUUUGACGGUAAUCAACCAGAAAGUCACGGCUAACUACGUGCCAGCAGCCGCGGUAAUACGUAGGUGGCAAGCGUUGUCCGGAUUUAUUGGGCGUAAAGCGAGCGCAGGCGGAAAAAUAAGUCUAAUGUGAAAGCCCUCGGCUUAACCGAGGAACUGCAUCGGAAACUGUUUUUCUUGAGUGCAGAAGAGGAGAGUGGAACUCCAUGUGUAGCGGUGGAAUGCGUAGAUAUAUGGAAGAACACCAGUGGCGAAGGCGGCUCUCUGGUCUGCAACUGACGCUGAGGCUCGAAAGCAUGGGUAGCGAACAGGAUUAGAUACCCUGGUAGUCCAUGCCGUAAACGAUGAGUGCUAAGUGUUGGGAGGUUUCCGCCUCUCAGUGCUGCAGCUAACGCAUUAAGCACUCCGCCUGGGGAGUACGACCGCAAGGU
Molecule: ribosomal RNA, 867 nt
Filed under: uncultured bacterium
Lineage: Bacteria
Description: bacterial SSU rRNA
Rfam family: Bacterial small subunit ribosomal RNA
Source: RNAcentral